Molecule: microRNA precursor, 62 nt
Filed under: Xyrichtys novacula (pearly razorfish)
Lineage: Eukaryota; Metazoa; Chordata; Actinopteri; Labriformes; Labridae
Source: RNAcentral
CUACACUACAGUGCAUUUAGUGUGCUGUAUUUAUUGCACAUUAAAUGGACUGUAGUGUAGCU